This 723-nucleotide long non-coding RNA is filed under the name Panax ginseng (ginseng). RNAcentral describes it as "long non-coding RNA (PGIN_LNC003902)". Lineage: Eukaryota; Viridiplantae; Streptophyta; Magnoliopsida; Apiales; Araliaceae. The record is from RNAcentral.
UUAUAUUGAAGCAAUAGCUGCUAGUAAUUGAGAGGAGCUUGUGACUAGUCUUAUUUUCCUAAGCAUGAGGUGUAAGGCAAGGAGAAGGAAUAGGCUGCCAAUUAAGCUAAGCUACAUUUGAGAAUAAGAAAGAAACCAGGAAGCUUAGCUAGCCUAGCAUAACUCCAGCAACUUCAAUUCCUCUCCAUUCCCGUACACUGUCACUCUCCACCUUUCUCGCUCAAAAUUUUAAAGUUCCCAAGACUAGCAAAUUCUAAGAAGCUAAAGCAAGAAAUAAGCAAUUGAAGUAUUAGCUGGAAUUGUAGUAAGGAAGAUAAUCAAAUUGGCAAUCAUCAAACCCAAACUAAGGUAAGAAAUGUAUCAAUUCAGGCAUACUCUCAUUCCUUCCUCUCUUCUAUGAAAUUGAGGUAUUGAUGAUAAGAGUAGACGAUAUAUGUAUGGCUUUGCUUGUGUUUAGGCUGAGAAUUAUAAGGAGGUUUAUGCAAGGUGUAUGGAGAUUAUAUCGUUGCAUAUUGAAUAUAUUAGAAUUAAGAAUUAAAGUUUAAAGUUAGUAAACUAGUUAGUUUGCUAAUUCGUUGAUUAUUCAUUUGCAUGAAUUAGAAACAAGGGGAUAAGCUUGGUUGUAUGGUGAAAUAUGGAAGCUAAAAUGGGAUGAUAGCACAAAUAAAUGGCUGUGAAAUGAGUGUUCCAAAAUAGCACACACUACUUGUUCGAUAAAAAGCC